Unclassified non-coding RNA from Cercocebus atys (sooty mangabey), 88 nucleotides. It matches the Rfam family "Y RNA". Rfam says of the family: Y RNAs are components of the Ro ribonucleoprotein particle (Ro RNP), in association with Ro60 and La proteins. The Y RNAs and Ro60 and La proteins are well conserved, but the function of the Ro RNP is not known. Lineage: Eukaryota; Metazoa; Chordata; Mammalia; Primates; Cercopithecidae. The record is from Ensembl.
GGCUAGUUCCUAUGAUACUGGGCUAUCAGAAUUUAACAUCCACAUUCAUGUCACUAAAGUCCCCACUGCUAAAUUUGACUGGCUUUAA